Pundamilia nyererei is the source of this 292-nucleotide long non-coding RNA. RefSeq lists it as uncharacterized. The transcript is spliced from 4 exons. The record is from RefSeq and is a predicted model, not a curated record. Lineage: Eukaryota; Metazoa; Chordata; Actinopteri; Cichliformes; Cichlidae.
AUCCUGUGUUUCUUAUUAAAUCCACUGUUUUACUACAUUUUAUGUUCCAGCACAAAUCAAACCAUAAACCAAACGAUCAACCAGGAUGAAGCUGGAGACAGCCAACAUGCUUCUCCUCACCGAGGUGAUGCUUGUCUCUAUGAAUCAGUCAAAGACCACGAUGACACAAAAAAUGUUGAAUCUGGGGAUGUCACAUAUUCUUUGAUUGAGUUUAAAAACAUCACUCAGAAAGAUGAGAGCCCGUUGUAUGCAGAGGUCUCCCACAAGAGAGCUAAAGCCAAGAGAAACAAGG